UAAUAGGCCACUUCCUGCAGGCUUUGGGCCCUUUGCCAGAGGAGCCUGACACAAACAAAUGGCUCAGACAGCCAGUUGGAUGUGUUUCCGCUGCGUGAGACUCUUCACCGGUACAACUGAGCUAUUACCUGAGCCAUCCUGGACUAAUUUGUACUUAGUCUGUGUAUCCAGAGCUGGUUGUGGAGCUGCUUCAGCCCUCGUGAUGUUGGGAACACUAACUGCAGGGAAGUGACCGUUUCCUAGCUGCACGGUGGUCAGCCUGUCACAUUUGCCCCAAGAGGAAGGUGCAGUAUGUCCAGACCACCCCCUGCCUGUAACAUGGACUUGUUCUUGGCUGACCUGGAGGAAAUGGUGCAGACGGCAAACAGUGGGGUGUUCUGUUUGUGCUCUGUUACACGGGAGACAGUGCAGAAGGGAGUUGAGGUUAGCUUGGUUCUCCGAGAGACUAUUUUUUUGCAUUUUGUAAGGCACAGAAAAUGUCUGAUACUUACAUACAUACAUAUUUGAAACUUUAGAUCUGGCACCAUUUAAGACCCCUUUAGUGACAUUCUUUCAAAAGAGCGACUUGCACCAAAUCUAUUGCCUUUUUGUGCAGACUUUGACUCCUUUUCCCUGAAGGAGAGAUACUAAUAUUUCUCAGUAAAUGUGCAGUAAUAUUUCUCAUCUGGCUCCUGCACUGACUGUGUUCAGCGAGUGAAUCAGCAGCCAGAGUGAA
Molecule: long non-coding RNA, 715 nt
Organism: Paralichthys olivaceus (Japanese flounder)
Lineage: Eukaryota; Metazoa; Chordata; Actinopteri; Pleuronectiformes; Paralichthyidae
Source: RefSeq, a predicted model, not a curated record